RNAcentral lists this ribosomal RNA (492 nucleotides) under uncultured bacterium. Its description in RNAcentral is "bacterial SSU rRNA". It matches the Rfam family "Bacterial small subunit ribosomal RNA", at positions 44 to 525 of the family's 1533-position model. The record is from RNAcentral.
AUGCCUAACACAUGCAAGUCGAACGGCAGCACGACAUAGUUUACUAUGUUGGUGGCGAGUGGCGCACGGGUGAGUAACGCGUAGGAAUAUACCUUAAAGAGGGGGAUAACUUGGGGAAACUCAAGCUAAUACCGCAUAAGCUCUAAGGAGGAAAGCUGGGGACUGUAAGGCCUGGCGCUUUAAGAUUAGCCUGCGUCCGAUUAGCUAGUUGGUAGGGUAAGGGCCUACCAAGGCGACGAUCGGUAGCUGGUCUGAGAGGAUGAUCAGCCACACUGGGACUGAGACACGGCCCAGACUCCUACGGGAGGCAGCAGUGGGGAAUAUUGGACAAUGGGGGAAACCCUGAUCCAGCAAUGCCGCGUGUGUGAAGAAGGCCUGAGGGUUGUAAAGCACUUUCAGUGGGGAGGAGGAUUUAUAGGUUAAGAGCUAGUACAUUGGACGUUACCCACAGAAGAAGCACCGGCUAACUCCGUGCCAGCAGCCGCGGUAAUA